AGCAGCCGCGGUAAUUCCAGCUCCAAUAGCGUAUAUUAAAGUUGUUGCAGUUAAAAAGCUCGUAGUUGAAUUUCGGGAUUAGUACGUUGGUCGUGCCUUCGGUACGUACUGGUGUUACUGAUUCCUACCUUCUGACGAACCAUCAUGUCAUUUAUUUGGUGUGGCGGGGAAUCAGGACUGUUACUUUGAAAAAUUAGAGUGUUUAAAGCAGGCUCGCGCUUGAAUACAUUAGCAUGGAAUAAUGAAAUAGGACGUUGACCCUAUUUUGUUGGUUUCUAGGAUUGACGUAAUGAUUAAUAGGAUAGUUGGGGCAUUAGUAUUCAAUUGUCAGAG
This 333-nucleotide ribosomal RNA is filed under the name uncultured Glomus. RNAcentral describes it as "SSU rRNA". It matches the Rfam family "Eukaryotic small subunit ribosomal RNA", at positions 569 to 910 of the family's 1831-position model. The record is from RNAcentral. Lineage: Eukaryota; Fungi; Glomeromycota; Glomeromycetes; Glomerales; Glomeraceae.